AUCGACUUUAGUAGGAUAAGUAGUGUUUAAACAUAGUGAACGCCUUUUUGUGUUUAUCACAUGCUGGGACUAGACUGUCUCACUCUGUUUAUAUGAAUGUUAUAUAUAUUAUAUUAACUGUUGUUUUGGUAAAGCUUAUUGCCAGUAGAGUGACUUUUAUUAUCUUUUACUACAGUCAAAAAAAUUAUCGAUAUAAAGUCGUAGUAGUAGUGGAUUUAUGUUGCCCGAGUGUCUAUUUUUAUUUGGUAACCAUUAACCUGGUGGCUAAGUAAAAAAAAAUACUAUUAGUUUACGGGGUAGUGUAAUUUUUUAAUAUUUUACAUAUACAUAAGCCUGAGUGUAUAUUUUUAUUUGGUAACCAUCAACCUGGUGACUAAGUAAAAAAUACUAUUAGUUUAUGGGAUAGUGUAAUUUUUUAAUCUUUUAUAUAUACAUAAAAGACUAAUUUUUUUUGUUUGUUUAAUUUUAUAUUUAGGGUCAUAAACUAAACAAAUGAAGUCCUAAAUAUAAAAUAAAUUGUAAAUAAUAAGAAUAUGAGAACAACGGCUAGGUGGCAGUUUAUGCGGGGCACAGAUCCCAUAAAGAGUAGCUGGGUAUAUCCUAAUUUUUGUAGAAAAAUUACGGAAAAAAUAUUUACUUAUUUUUUUUGCUUAUAAUUUUUAUUUAAUAUAUAAAUUUAUUUAUAUAAAUUUAAGAUAUUAUUUCUUAAGACAAAUUUGUAUAUAAGUGGAUAAAAUGUAAAAUACUUAUCCCUAUAUAUAUUUAAUCAGUAUUUUUUUACUUAAAGUAGAAUUUAAAUUUUUAAAGCAAGUAAGAUUUUAAUUAUAUUGAGCAUAGUUGUAAUAAAUAAAUUAACAUCCUCUAAUUUAACAAUAAAAUUGAAUAAUGUAGUGGGUUGUAAUAUAAUUUAAAGUUGCUUAAAUCCAGGACUUGGUCUUGUGAAUAGUGAUUUUGAUAAUUACUUUUAAAGUUUAAUGGCAUAAUCUUGCUUAACUGUUUGACCUACAUGUCUAUCAGUCGCGUAAGCGGGGCAUACGAUCACAAUACGCUCGAAAUGAGG
RNAcentral lists this ribosomal RNA (1060 nucleotides) under Dactylella sp. Its description in RNAcentral is "partial large subunit ribosomal RNA". Lineage: Eukaryota; Fungi; Ascomycota; Orbiliomycetes; Orbiliales; Orbiliaceae. The record is from RNAcentral.